This 56-nucleotide microRNA precursor is filed under the name Sarcophilus harrisii (Tasmanian devil). RNAcentral describes it as "Sha-Mir-7373-o6_pre stem-loop". The record is from RNAcentral. Lineage: Eukaryota; Metazoa; Chordata; Mammalia; Dasyuromorphia; Dasyuridae.
AAGCCCUUACCCCACUAACUUAUAGAUUUUUAUCUGUUAGAGGGGGAAGGAAUAGC